RNAcentral lists this ribosomal RNA (599 nucleotides) under uncultured fungus. Its description in RNAcentral is "eukaryotic LSU rRNA". The stretch from base 225 to 378 matches the Rfam family "5.8S ribosomal RNA". The record is from RNAcentral. Lineage: Eukaryota; Fungi.
AGUAAAAGUCGUAACAAGGUUUCCGUAGGUGAACCUGCGGAAGGAUCAUUACUGAGUGAGGGCCCUCUGGGUCCAACCUCCCACCCGUGUUUAUUGUACCUUGUUGCUUCGGUGCGCCCGCCUCACGGCCGCCGGGGGGCUUCUGCCCCCGGGUCCGCGCGCACCGGAGACACUAUUGAACUCUGUCUGAAGAUUGCAGUCUGAGCAUAAACUAAAUAAGUUAAAACUUUCAACAACGGAUCUCUUGGUUCCGGCAUCGAUGAAGAACGCAGCGAAAUGCGAUAACUAAUGUGAAUUGCAGAAUUCAGUGAAUCAUCGAGUCUAUGAACGCACAUUGCGCCCCCUGGUAUUCCGGGGGGCAUGCCUGUCCGAGCGUCAUUGCUGCCCUCAAGCACGGCUUGUGUGUUGGGCUCCGUCCCCCCGGGGACGGGUCCGAAAGGCAGCGGCGGCACCGAGUCCGGUCCUCGAGCGUAUGGGGCUUUGUCACCCGCUCUGUAGGCCCGGCCGGCGCCAGCCGACAACCAAUCAUCCUUUUUUCAGGUUGACCUCGGAUCAGGUAGGGAUACCCGCUGAACUUAAGCAUAUCAAUAAGCGGAGGA